Molecule: ribosomal RNA, 947 nt
Filed under: Hymenoscyphus globus
Lineage: Eukaryota; Fungi; Ascomycota; Leotiomycetes; Helotiales; Helotiaceae
Description: partial large subunit ribosomal RNA
Rfam family: Eukaryotic large subunit ribosomal RNA
Source: RNAcentral
UUUCCCCGUGGAUCUAGCAUAUCAAUAAGCGGAGGAAAAGAAACCAACAGGGAUUACCUCAGUAACGGCGAGUGAAGCGGUAACAGCUCAAAUUUGAAAUCUGGCUCUUUCAGGGUCCGAGUUGUAAUUUGUAGAAGAUGCUUCGGGUGUGGCUCCGGUCUAAGUUCCUUGGAACAGGACGUCAUAGAGGGUGAGAAUCCCGUAUGUGACUGGUUGCCUUCGCCCAUGUGAAGCUCUUUCGACGAGUCGAGUUGUUUGGGAAUGCAGCUCUAAAUGGGAGGUAUAUUUCUUCUAAAGCUAAAUAUUGGCCAGAGACCGAUAGCGCACAAGUAGAGUGAUCGAAAGAUGAAAAGCACUUUGGAAAGAGAGUUAAACAGUACGUGAAAUUGUUGAAAGGGAAGCGCUUGCAACCAGACUUGCAUGCCGUCGAUCAUCCUGGGUUCUCCCUGGUGCACUCGGCGGCGUUCAGGCCAGCAUCGGUUUCGGUGGUUGGAUAAAGGCCUUGGGAAUGUGGCUCCUCUCGGGGAGUGUUAUAGCCCUCGGUGCAAUGCAGCCUACCGGGACCGAGGACCGCGCUUCGGCUAGGAUGCUGGCGUAAUGGUUGUAAGCGACCCGUCUUGAAACACGGACCAAGGAGUCUAACAUCUAUGCGAGUGUUUGGGUGUUAAACCCAUACGCGUAAUUAACGUGAACGGAGGUGAGAACCCUUUAGGGUGCAUCAUCGACCGAUCCUGAUGUCUUCGGAUGGAUUUGAGUAAGAGCAUAGCUGUUGGGACCCGAAAGAUGGUGAACUAUGCCUAAAUAGGGUGAAGCCAGAGGAAACUCUGGUGGAGGCUCGCAGCGGUUCUGACGUGCAAAUCGAUCGUCAAAUUUGGGUAUAGGGGCGAAAGACUAAUCGAACCAUCUAGUAGCUGGUUCCUGCCGAAGUCUCCCCCCCUCAGGAUUAA